Cydia pomonella (codling moth) is the source of this 2793-nucleotide RNA transcript. RefSeq lists it as uncharacterized. NCBI's taxonomy places the organism in Eukaryota, Metazoa, Arthropoda, Insecta, Lepidoptera, Tortricidae. The transcript has 7 exons. The record is from RefSeq and is a predicted model, not a curated record.
UAGUAUGCAGUUAGUAAAUAUCUGAUUACUAAAAUCGUUAUAGAUGUGACAAUCCUAAUAGAAAUAUUAGUAAGUAAACCAUUGUACGCUUAAAUGGAUAGGCGUGUCUGUCACAUACUCGUACCUACAUCAUAUGUGAGGCUAACGCAAUAAAAAGUUAUCAGUUUUGUCCGUAACGUAUCAAAGACUGCACUGCCCCGUCCUCAUAUACAUUUUAUUCAAUAAUAAAUGUUAGUGGAUGAAAAGGAUGGCGAAAUCAAAGGAGAUGAAAUCUAAAGUGAAAAUGGAAGGUGAAUUCAUCCCCCCGGACGGAGGCUGGGGGUGGAUGAUUAUUAUUGCCGCUGGAUUUUCUAACCUGUCAGCUCUGCCGAUGCUGCAGCAGUUCGGGCUGCUGUUCCGCGACAGGUUCUCCAGCCUCGGCAUCACCAGCUCAGAGACCACCACCAUCAUAAACAUGAACUCCGCGCUGACCUCUUGCGUCGGUUUAGCCAACGGGCCAGUGUUUAAAACAUUCACGUACCGCCAAGUGUCGCUGACUGGAGCGUGCGUGGUCUUUAUUUCAUUAAUUCUAUGCACAUUUUCGUACAAUUUCGUCACCUACCUCGUAUCAUUUUCAAUACUUUAUGGUGCUGGAUACGGCAUAAGCAGCUCUGCUAAUGCACUUGCUUUAAACACUUACUGGAAGAAUAGAAGGCGUCUAGCAACCGGCCUCUCAUGGACUAUUACGGGUCUUGGCCCCAUGUUAUGGCCACACAUUAUCACCGGUCUGAUCUAUCUCUUUGGUGAACAUGGAUGCAUUCUUCUUAUAAGUGGGUUUUCCUUACAUGCCAUCGCUUGCGCGUUACUACUUCAGCCAGUGGAAAGGCACUGUAAGUCUACUAAUCGAGAAAAUGGCGACGAAGAAAAACUAUUGGGCUCUGAACAAUCUGACAAAAGGGAUAAAGAAAGUGGUUAUUUCAGCAAUAUGUCAAAAUUUAAGAAUUUUAGUGCAUUUUCCAGUCAGUAUAUUUAUAAUGAGGAUGAUCCAGUUAAUCCAGGAUAUGAAAUCACAGACCCAGGAGUGCCCAUGAUGUUGCGUGCCAACGAUGGAUAUUUCAGUCAAUCGCGACAAUCAAGAAGCAGGCUGUCGUCAAGGGAUGCCUCAGCUAAAACAUCCCGCAUGAAUUCAAAAAAACCUUCAAUGUCAAAUCUAACUGAAAAUCGAUCUCGCAAAUCUUCAACGUUGUACCUCAAUGAAUCUAAAAAAAACUCCGCAGCAAAUCUGGGCACACUAGCCAACGAGCGAGAAAAUUAUAAACCCAAGUUAUACCUUAAUGAAUCUAAAAAAAACUCUGCUGUGAAUUUAGGAGCCAUGACUCAAGAAAGAGACAAUUAUAAACCAAAAAGAAAAACUUCGAUAACUCAAACACAGAUUCCAGAAUCGGAAAUAGAAGACUGUCCGACACUGAAAGCUCCUCAAGAUCUUAAAGCUGAUGAAAAGGCAGCUGUUGAAAAUAUAGACCCAGAGAAAGCUAAAGUUAUUGCAGAUAAGGCUGAAAAACAUUUAGCUGGCAGUAAAAGUCUAAAAUCAUUCAAAAUGGAGGGUCAGUAUGGCGAGUCAUAUAAUAAAAAUAAUCAUAGCAACAUAUCGCUUAAAAAUCAAGACGAUGUUGAUGAACGAAAAUAUCUGAGAGAUAAUGCCAGCAAUCAAUCGUACCGUACUAGAUAUAGACGGAAAUCGAAUAAUUUCAAUUACGAAAGUGAAGUAUUAAAACAAGCUUCUUUGAAAUUAGAACAAUAUUUAAAAGAAAACGAAGAACCCGAUAAGUUCAAGUUGUUAAUUAAUGGCCAGUUGGAGGAUGAUGUAUUUGAAGAUAAUACAGAAAACAAGGGUGUUGAAGAUGAUGAAGAAGUACAGCUUACAUUUUGUGAAAAAGUGGCAAUAUUCUUCGAUUUAGAUUUACUGAGAGACUUCACUUUCAUUAACUUGAUGCUCGGAAUCACGUUAGCUAACUUUAAUGAACUCAAUUUCUCUAUACUAACGCCAUUUAUACUAGGUGAUUACGGUAUGAGUAAAUCAGAAGUGGCUUUUUUUAUGUCGUUGCUAGCGGGAGUGGACAUAUGCGUCAGAUUCUGCAUCCCCUUCGUAGCUGGCAAAAUAGGAUGGGACAACAAUUCGUUCUUCCUCUUUGGUGUCUUAUCGAUGGCAAUGGGUAGAGUGGUUCUAGCCUACUACCAGACGUACUCCAUAGUGCUCCUGGUCGCGGUCAUGAUCGGCUUCGGCAAGGGCCUGCGGACGGUGUUCAUGGCGCUGGUGAUCCCCACCCACGUGCCGCUGCACAAGCUGCCCGGGGCCACCGGCAUCCAACUGCUCACGGCCGGCAUCGUGUACUUGGUGUUGGGGCCUGUAGUUGGAUCACAAAUAAAUAGGAACAAAGAAAUACAGAACAUGAAUAGAUGCUUAGCCACUUAUAGAUGACCACAGCUCACAUGUGUGUACAGUCGCCAUCAGAUAUCGUAGCGGGCAAGGUACUCAAAUAUUUCGGAGCAGCAUUACUUUUCAAUAAAAUCGACAUACUAGAUAUAGUCAAUAACAUCAGAACAUGCAAUUUGUCAUAAAUAUAAGAGCAGCGACUUUUCAAUAGAUUCGGAACACAUAACGAGGCAGAAAUAUUAGAAAGCACAGAACGUUAAAGGUUGGAUAAAAGACAACGCCUCGACAGCUAUCACAUUGCAUUGUUUAAACAUAUUCACGUGGCUCACAGCUCUCUCGUGGGGCCUUGAGAAAUACAUCAGAUCGAAGCAACAGCCCGU